UGUCUUUCUCAUCCCCAGUGUUCUUUGAAAUGGUUUGAAAUUAUCAACAACCCUAUGUACCAUUGACUGGUAUACAGAAAUAUUCUCGACAACCGACAAGUUAUUCACAGCUUCCUUUCAUGUUAAAGGAGAUGUUGUUAUCACGGGAAAAUGAAGAAAGGUCAACUAGUGCAGACAUCAAACAAGCAUAGUCCAGUAACAGUAAUGAAAUUGAUUGUGAGAAUGAAGAAGAUAGCCAUAUUUGGACCAAAGCAAAGGAUGAAUCACAACUGGAUGAUAGUUGUGCAUGUAUUAGUGAACCGGUUAUUUCAAGGAAAGCUUACCUUAUUCAGCAAUUGCUAUGAAGAUGAAGAAAGUUGUAACCAGCCGAAAGAUGUUGUCUUCAUGUUUGUACCAUCCUGUUAUAGAAACAAUGCCAGUACACAGAACAUUCAGUUGAGAUGAGAUGGAGAAAGGGAGAUAAUUGAAAUGGGGAGAAAAUUUUGACACUUGACCCAGGCUUUCAUCAGGCUGUCACAUGGUGUGUUACAUGAUGCUGUCUUAUUUAAGAUUCAUUGAAAGGAAAAUAAAAUGUUUUGAAAGGAGCAAAAAUGACAGGAAAGAUUAAUUUCAGAUGAUGACAGUUGAGAAGAAUUUGAGGGAUAGGACUAUUUUAAAUUCACCAAAUCUGAUUUGGUCACACAUUACAUGGGAUUGGAUCAUGAUGUAAACAUUCCAAUAUCCUCGACAAUAUAUCUGAAGAAAUAAAGUUAGGUAAACAGAGUCAUUACUCUCAGUAGUCUCAGAUCUCUUUUUUUAUCUAAGUAAUUAUUAUUCUACAUUUAUCCCCCAUCUUGUUUGAUCAAGAAAUUAACAUUAAUAAGACUGUAAGAUUAUCUGUUUCCUGUCUUGCAAAGUGACCACUGGCCAUGCUGUUCAUUCAAUGACCGCUGACCGUUUGAUUCUUUGAUGAGAAACAAAAAUACAAACACUGAUGAUAAUACUUCUGCACAUUAAUGAGAUUUUCCCAGCAUUUGUGAAAAUAUUAAUUAUAGCAAAUGACCGAACCACUUUAGAUUAGUCCAGGACAAGGGUCAUUUCGAGGUCAUCUUUCCAGCUACUGGCCGAUAAGAUUUUGAUAAAGUCUUGAAAUGAUGCACAGAGGGUAUGUGUGGGAUGAUAUCCGCUCAUUUAACAGUAAUUAUAAGAAUGGGGUCUGUAUUGUAGGUCAUUCUUACUAAGUUAAAGACUAUACCAUUUCAAGGGAGAUGCAGAUUUUCCAAACUUAUUACAUAUGGGUCGAGCCAAAAGGUCUUUGGGCCUUGGAUUUUUUUUAGUUUGAACCCUCUGGUGUGCCAAUCAUUGGUUAGAAGAUUUGAUGGCAGAUAAGUUUUAAGCUGUCUAUAUGGGUCACUGAUUAAAGUGGGAAAGAGGGCAGUAUAUUUUGGGAGAACAGAUGAUUGGUACUGGAACGGAUCAGAUAAUUGGUACUGGUAUGGAACAGAUGAUUGGUACUGGUAUGGAACAAAUAAUUGGUACUGGUAUGGAACAGCUGAUAGAUACUGGUAUGGAACAGAUGAUUGGUACUGGUAUGGAACAGAUGAUUGGUACUGGUAUGGAACAGAUGA
Molecule: long non-coding RNA, 1607 nt
Organism: Ruditapes philippinarum (Manila clam)
Lineage: Eukaryota; Metazoa; Mollusca; Bivalvia; Venerida; Veneridae
Exons: 5
Source: RefSeq, a predicted model, not a curated record